ACGGAAGGCAGCAGUGGGGAAUUUUUCACAAUGGGGGAAACCCUGAUGGAGCAAUCCUGCGUGGAUGAUGAAGGCCCUUUGGGUCGUAAAAUCCUUUUAUAAAGGACGAAAGCAGUAACUAGGAAAUGAGUUAUUGUUGACUGUACUUUUUGAAUAAGUAACGGCUAACUAUGUGCCAGCAGCCGCGGUAAUACAUAGGUUACAAGCGUUAUCCGGAUUUACUGGGCGUAAAGCGAGCGCAGAUGGACUUACAAGUCUGGUGUUAAAGACUUAGGCUUAACCUAAACACGCAUUGGAAACUGUAAGUCUAGAGUUUGAUAGGAAGUUUUAGAACUCCAUGUGGAGCGGUGGAAUGCGCAGAUAUAUGGAAGAAUACCGGUGGUGAAAACGAAAACUUAGGUCACAACUGACAUUUAGGCUCGAAAGUGUGGGGAGCAAAUAGGAUUAGAUACCCUGGUA
Molecule: ribosomal RNA, 459 nt
Filed under: uncultured Mycoplasma sp.
Lineage: Bacteria; Bacillati; Mycoplasmatota; Mollicutes; Mycoplasmatales; Mycoplasmataceae
Description: partial 16S ribosomal RNA
Rfam family: Bacterial small subunit ribosomal RNA
Source: RNAcentral